RNAcentral lists this ribosomal RNA (253 nucleotides) under uncultured bacterium. RNAcentral describes it as "partial 16S ribosomal RNA". It matches the Rfam family "Bacterial small subunit ribosomal RNA", at positions 524 to 776 of the family's 1533-position model. The record is from RNAcentral.
UACGGGGGGGGUAAGCGUUGUUCGGAAUUACUGGGCGUAAAGGGCGCGUAGGCGGGCCAUCAAGUCAGGGGUGAAAUCCUCCGGCCUAACCGGAGAACGGCUUUUGAUACUGGUGGUCUCGAGGGGGGUAGGGGCAUGCGGAACUUCCGGUGGAGCGGUGAAAUGCGCAGAUAUCAGGAGGAACACCGAUGGCGAAGGCAGGUCUCUGGGCCGAUACUGACGCUGAGGAGCGAAAGCGUGGGGAGCGAACAGG